AUUGAACGCUGGCGGCAGGCCUAACACAUGCAAGUCGAGCGAGCGGCGGACGGGUGAGUAAUGUCUGGGAAACUGCCCGAUGGAGGGGGAUAACUCCCGGAAACGGCAGCUAAUACCGCAUACCAUCUUAUGUGCCCAGAUGGGAUUAGCUAGUAGGUGGGGUAACGGCUCACCUAGGCGACGAUCCCUCGCGGGUCUGAGAGGAUGACCAGCCACACUGGAACUGAGACACGGUCCAGACUCCUACGGGAGGCAGCAGUGGGGAAUAUUGCACAAUGGGCGCAAGCCUGAUGCAGCCAUGCCGCGUGUGUGAAGAAGGCCUUCGGGUUGUAAAGCACUUUCAGCGGGGAGGCGUUACCCGCAGAAGAAGCACCGGCUAACUUCGUGCCAGCAGCCGCGGUAAUUC
Molecule: ribosomal RNA, 406 nt
Filed under: uncultured bacterium
Lineage: Bacteria
Description: partial 16S ribosomal RNA
Rfam family: Bacterial small subunit ribosomal RNA
Source: RNAcentral